Molecule: ribosomal RNA, 253 nt
Filed under: uncultured bacterium
Lineage: Bacteria
Description: partial 16S ribosomal RNA
Rfam family: Bacterial small subunit ribosomal RNA
Source: RNAcentral
UACGUAGGGUGCAGGCGUUAUUCGGAAUUACUGGGCGUAAAGCGUGCGCAGGCGGUUUGCUAAGUCAGGUGUGAAAUCCCCGGGCUUAACCUGGGAACUGCGCUUGUAACUGGCAAGCUUGAGUGUGGCAGAGGGGGGUGGAAUUCCACGUGUAGCAGUGAAAUGCGUAGAGAUGUGGAGGAACACCGAUGGCGAAGGCAGCCCCCUGGGCUAACACUGACGCUCAGGCACGAAAGCGUGGGGAGCAAACAGG